ACGGGAGGCAGCAGUGGGGGAUAUUGCACAAUGGGGGAAACCCUGAUGCAGCGACGCCGCGUGAGUGAUGAAGUAUUUCGGUAUGUAAAGCUCUAUCAGCAGGGAAGAAAAUGACGGUACCUGACUAAGAAGCACCGGCUAAAUACGUGCCAGCAGCCGCGGUAAUACGUAUGGUGCAAGCGUUAUCCGGAUUUACUGGGUGUAAAGGGAGCGUAGACGGCAUAGCAAGCCAGAUGUGAAAGGUGGGGGCUCAACCCCCAAGCUGCAUUUGGAACUGUUAAGCUAGAGUAUCGGAGAGGUAAGUGGAAUUCCUAGUGUAGCGGUGAAAUGCGUAGAUAUUAGGAGGAACACCAGUGGCGAAGGCGGCUUACUGGACUGUAACUGACGUUGAGGCUCGAAAGCGUGGGGAGCAAACAGGAUUAGAUACCCUGGUA
This 434-nucleotide ribosomal RNA is filed under the name uncultured bacterium. Its description in RNAcentral is "partial 16S ribosomal RNA". It matches the Rfam family "Bacterial small subunit ribosomal RNA", at positions 341 to 792 of the family's 1533-position model. RNAcentral also lists the same sequence under 1 other name. The record is from RNAcentral.